AGAAGCUGGCGGUGCCAGAGGAGCUGUGCUACAGUGGGGCAGGUUGGGGAUCCGCAGCUCAGUCUCGGGGCCCAGAUCGAAGCUCCCAACGAGCCAGAGCCCCUCCAGAUCCCACUCCGGCAGCAGGGAGCGAGGGUCAGGCUGGGAUGGUGGGGGGAAGCCCCAGCCCCUCCUCGGCCUCUGGAUCCUCACCCAGCUGCUUUGUUUCUUUGUUUGUUGUGCUGGAAGGUGGGAUAACAUUAACACAGGGCUGCAGGAUUCAUUCUGGCAUGGCAAAUCCUGGAAUGCCUUUGGCGAAAGGUGCUUAAAGGCAUGAAAUUCCCAGCGGCGCCUUUACGCAUCCUCUUCCUCCUCUGUGCUGUUCGGUGGGCCCAAGCCCCCCGGGCAAAGACUCAGACAGAUGCUCAGCGGCGCGAGGCCGGUGGUGGGUGCUGAGGGUGCGAUCCCCUGCAAGUCUCCUCCUGUGUGUGUGACCCAACACGGGAUCAGAACGAGCUCCCUUCACCUCCCCUGAGCAUGAACCGCGCUGUAACAGGCUUCCCCAAACACAGGGAUCAAAAACUGCCUGAGUCAACCUGUGCAAAUCCUGUUUGAGGGAGAGAGCAGAUGUCUCUUAGGACUGAUACUGUUAAUAUUAUGUGCAAAUGAACCAUCUGGCAGCAUUUGAAUUAUUUUUUAUGCUAGCUUAUAGCGUUAUACAGCGGAUAUCUGCUUCUACCCAUUUCACUUCGCGGUGUAGACUGAUCCUCAGCGUGCAAUGCAAAGCACCAAGCCUCCCCGAAGACUUCCCUGUGGGAAAAUAGCUGCAAAAUUAUCCAUGAAUAUUCAUCCUCCCAGUAAACAUGCGGAGGGAAAACCCUGGUAAAGAUAUUCCUCCUUUAUAUCCAUUCUCCUUUAUAUGCAUCCUCCUUUAUAUACAAUCCUUCUUUAUAUGCAUCCUCCUGCAUAUGCAUCCUCCCGUAUAUACGCCCCUGAGCUAACACCUGUGUGUAUUUUACACCCGGCUCCUCCAGAAUAUUAGAAAACUGGGAGAUGGAAUUUGACCAAAACCUGCCCCUUUCACCCUGCAGCACGUGCUGGAAUCCCCCCUUUUAUAUUAUUCAGGCGUUCAACGAAUAAAAUUAACUAAAACGAGCCAAA
Molecule: long non-coding RNA, 1140 nt
Organism: Tyto alba (common barn owl)
Lineage: Eukaryota; Metazoa; Chordata; Aves; Strigiformes; Tytonidae
Exons: 2
Source: RefSeq, a predicted model, not a curated record